CCCUCGGCCCCCCUGCGGGGACCUCGCCUGACCCCGGCUCUCUGGGCGCCUGGGGCUAGCGGGAGGAGGCAGGGAUGGGGGAGACCGCGGCUUCCUCCCCUUCCCCCCCAGCCCGGCCGUCUCCCUCCUUCCCGGCUCGGCCUCCCCCGUUUCCAGUCUCGGGGCUCCUCUUAGCCCGCCUCCCCUUGGAGAGAGCGGCUCUCCUCCCGGCCUCGGACCCCCAGCCCCCUCGGCCUCAGCCCCCGGCACCAGCGGCGGCGGCGGGGCGGAGGGACCGAAGCCUCUCCCCCAACCCCCCGGUAACCUUGGAGGCGCCCUCGCAGUCUUCUCCUCGCCCUCCGCCUCGCUCCAGCCAGUCUGAGGACGGGCCGGGGCAGCAGCUCCAGAGACGCCCCCCGCCCCCACCCCUACAGCGCGCUGUCAGCCAGAAAUAUCCGUUCCUUGGGGGAGGAAGCAGCGCGCCGCCAGCCCUCGCUCCCGCUGCCCCGUUAGCGCCGCCGGUCCAGGCGCUUCCCGGCGGAGACUGCGGGGCCGCAUUGUAAAAGCCGCUCGGUGACCAAGCGAAGCCGAGCGCUCUGACCCCCAAGCCCCGGGCCGCCUAACGCUCGGCCAGCUGGGGAAACGGCGCCCGGCUCCCGGCUCGGUCUGGGGAGGCCGGCCGGCGGCCACGGUCCGCGCUCUCGCCCCGGGACCGGGCAGCACCCGCGGGGGCAGCCGGCGCGCGGAGCCGUCGCCCUCCGCCCCCUCCGCCUUUUCGGGGCUGGCGCCGGGGGGGGGGGGGGGGUCCAGCUUUUUCCAGACUCACAUUCGAAUUCAGGCGUGGAACCGACCGGUGCACGUGAGGUCCCGGUGAAACACGCCCUCCUCCCCUCCCCCGGAGAAGCACCGGCCGGAGCCCAAAGCCCCGGCCCCCCCCGGGAAGGGGCCUCGGAGCGGCCCGAGGAGUCCGGCCCGCGGUGCCGGAAGAACUCUCCAUCCCCGGGCUCGUGUCUGCGCGGACUGUAACAGUGUCUCCCCGAGCGCCGGGCGGGAAGUGCUGCGCCAGCCACUCGGGCCCAGCUCUGGGGCUGCGGUCCUUCCCUUAAGGCACUUCUGCUCAAAAGGGCCUCGGCUCCCCGGCAGCAUCCCUGGGAGUGCCCUCCCUGCCCACUCAGCCACUUCAAACCAAGCCGCCCGAAAGGGCCUUUGGGGACAUUUUAAAUGUGCUUUUCUAUUUUUGUCAUGACGUGGGGCAGGUCGGGAUGGACUUGCUCGCCUCGCUCGUGACCGAAAGAAAGAAGCUAAAAGUCCAUCAGUUGCUUGUUGUUGUUGUUCUUUUUGCUGAUUCAAGAUGCGAUGAAAUCACCCCAAGCAGAGCAAAAAUAUUAUCACGUGGGAACAAAUUAUUAAAUUAAGCAGCUGGAACUUAUUAAUGAUUAACAAGAGCACAAUCCUUCUUAUCAAUACCCAAGUAAGCAAGGCAGCAUACUAUGGUAUCUCAAGCUGCAAUGAGAGAUAGUAGCCAAGAGCAGAAAAUGCAACCGAAGAUACAAAGAAAACAGCCUCCCUUUUAAGACACGGCACAAUGCCUUAAUGUGUAUUUAAAAUAAAAUCACACUCGUUUUAUAGCACAUUAUUUUAUCUCCUGUGCUAUCAAUUAUUUUUUUGCUUCCUUUCUCUCUGCUCACCCUAAAUACUUACUAAUUGAUGUGAGUCAUCAUAGCUCUCUAUUUUCUUGUCUCCACACUGUAAGUAAUGAACGAGUCAAAUACCUAAGGGAAUCGUGUUUUCCAGAUUUAAAAAAAAUUUCUUGACCCUUCAGGCAGUCAUUUCCAUGAUGUAUGAACAUUACUCUAAUUUUAAAGGCAUAUUUUAUUUGUUGGAAAAGUAGUUACUAUCACUUUUGUUGAAAUUCUGCAGUGGGCCUAUGUGGGGUGGAAGGGAAGCACACAGUGCCUGAUCUUAUUUUCAUAAAAAUUACAUAGGAAAAAAAUUGCUGUGAAUCCUAUAAUGUGGUAAUUCACAAACUGACAUAGUUAAUAUAAAUUGGACAAAAUUUUCCAAUAUUCAAGAGCCUAACACAUGCUAAAAAGUUAGACAUAGGAGUAAGAACAGUAAAUUUCAUGUCUGGUCUUUCACCAAGUCAUUUGCUGUUUAUUAACUUUUCAAAAUAGGAUAUGAUUUAUAAUUUUUGCCUUAGGAGACUAAUAGAAAAUUAAAUCUGUUAAUGUCUGUAGAGAAAUAGGAGGAAAAGAAAAUGCCAUAAAACCCAAAGCAAUAUUAUAUAUGUACAUAUAUUUUUUUUAAAGCAAAUUGUCCUUUCUGAAGGUGAAUAUCUAUAAUAUGCCUUCCUUAUUGGAAUUGUAUUUCAGAUGAUCAUUUUUUAAAUUUCUAAUUGCCUUCACUGGGUCCAAAAGCUCCCAUGUAUCCCUUCAGCCUAAAAGCAUGCAAUUGGUGCAACAAAGGACAAAACAGCAUAAUUUAGUGGUCUUUCAGAUCAUUUUAAAAAACACCUCCCUCUUGAUAAAUUUUAUAUAUAUAUAUAAAAACAAAUAUAUUUAUUAAAUAUUUUUAAAUUUUACCAAUUUAGUUCCACAUUACUUUUGAGCUGCCAAACUAUGAUUUUUUUGCUACAGUGAAAGAAAGAAUUUCCCUCAUACACAAGUUCAUUUUUCUUUCUGACCCAAAUAAAAGAAGGCUAAUUAUAAAUUACAAUUGUUCUCAUUUCUAA
Molecule: long non-coding RNA, 2710 nt
Filed under: Sarcophilus harrisii (Tasmanian devil)
Lineage: Eukaryota; Metazoa; Chordata; Mammalia; Dasyuromorphia; Dasyuridae
Description: lncRNA (ENSSHAG00000027729.1)
Source: RNAcentral